RNAcentral lists this ribosomal RNA (113 nucleotides) under Vibrio renipiscarius. Its description in RNAcentral is "partial 23S ribosomal RNA". It matches the Rfam family "Bacterial large subunit ribosomal RNA", at positions 1 to 105 of the family's 2925-position model. The record is from RNAcentral. Lineage: Bacteria; Pseudomonadati; Pseudomonadota; Gammaproteobacteria; Vibrionales; Vibrionaceae.
GUUGUAUGGUUAAGUGACUAAGCGUACACGGUGGAUGCCUUGGCAGUCAGAGGCGAUGAAAGACGUAGUAACUUGCGAUAAGCCCAGAUUAGGUAGUAACAACCAUUUGAGUC